UACGGAGGGUGCAAGCGUUAUCCGGAUUCACUGGGUUUAAAGGGUGCGUAGGUGGGCAGGUAAGUCAGUGGUGAAAUCUCCGGGCUUAACCCGGAAACUGCCAUUGAUACUAUCUGUCUUGAAUACCGUGGAGGUGAGCGGAAUAUGUCAUGUAGCGGUGAAAUGCUUAGAUAUGACAUAGAACACCAAUUGCGAAGGCAGCUCACUACGCGAAUAUUGACACUGAGGCACGAAAGCGUGGGGAUCAAACUGG
RNAcentral lists this ribosomal RNA (253 nucleotides) under uncultured bacterium. RNAcentral's name for it is "partial 16S ribosomal RNA". It matches the Rfam family "Bacterial small subunit ribosomal RNA", at positions 524 to 776 of the family's 1533-position model. The record is from RNAcentral.